Molecule: unclassified non-coding RNA, 145 nt
Filed under: soil metagenome
Description: partial internal transcribed spacer 1
Source: RNAcentral
UAAUAAGUGUUUUAUGGCACUUUUUAAGUCCAUAUCCACCUUGUGUGCAAUGUCAGUCGAUCUUCUUCAUGGAGAUCGACCAAACAUCAACCUUUAUUUUUUAACUCUUUGUCUGAAAAAUAUUAUGAAUAAACAAUUCAAAAUA